GAAACNUGCGUUAGCAGAUAGACCUGUGGACAUGUAUGAAACAACUAAAAGCCCGGGCUCGUCCCGGCACCAACUAAACCNGGCGCGGAUUGCGCCAAGGACUAUGAACACAAUCGUGCCCCGCGCGGCCGCUACUUCGGCCCGCGCGGCGGCGGCGUGUCGUUUCUAUCGAAUUGAACGACUCUCGGCAACGGAUAUCUCGGCUCUCGCAUCGAUGAAGAACGUAGCGAAAUGCGAUACUUGGUGUGAAUUGCAGAAUCCCGUGAACCAUCGAGUCUUUGAACGCAAGUUGCGCCCGAAGCCCUCGUGGCCAGGGCACGUCUGUCUGGGCGUCACGCACCGCGUUGCCCCACCCCCUCCUGGGGGGUCGGGGCGGAGAUUGGCCUCCCGUGCGCCCUUGCGCGCGGUUGGCCCAAACUGAGACCCCGCGGCCGCGAGACGGCGCGACGACCGGUGGAGUAGUCCCUACGCAUCGCUUCGCGUCCUGAGCGGCCCCAGUGGCCAGGAUGACCCUUUGCGACCCCAGAUCAGGCGGGAUUACCCGCUGAGUUUAAGCAUAUCAAUAAGCGGAGGAAAAGAAA
RNAcentral lists this ribosomal RNA (581 nucleotides) under Polygonum americanum. Its description in RNAcentral is "eukaryotic LSU rRNA". The stretch from base 180 to 335 matches the Rfam family "5.8S ribosomal RNA". The record is from RNAcentral. Lineage: Eukaryota; Viridiplantae; Streptophyta; Magnoliopsida; Caryophyllales; Polygonaceae.